UACGGAGGGUGCAAACGUUGCUCGGAAUCACUGGGCGUAAAGCGCACGUAGGCGGCUCGAAAAGUCGGAUGUGAAAGCCCUGGGCUCAACCUAGGAAGUGCAUUCGAAACUGCCGAGCUUGAGUACGGGAGAGGGUUGCGGAAUUCCAGGUGUAGCGGUGAAAUGCGUAGAUAUCUGGAGGAACACCGGUGGCGAAGGCGACAUCCUGGACCGGUAUUGACGCUGAGGCGCGAAAGCGUGGGGAGCAAACAGG
This 253-nucleotide ribosomal RNA is filed under the name uncultured bacterium. RNAcentral describes it as "partial 16S ribosomal RNA". It matches the Rfam family "Bacterial small subunit ribosomal RNA", at positions 524 to 776 of the family's 1533-position model. The record is from RNAcentral.